This 119-nucleotide ribosomal RNA is filed under the name Pteropus alecto (black flying fox). The record is from RNAcentral. Lineage: Eukaryota; Metazoa; Chordata; Mammalia; Chiroptera; Pteropodidae.
GUCUAUGGCCAUGCCACCUUGAACAAGCCCAAUCCCCUCUGAUCUCAGAGGCUAAGCAGGGCCAGCCCUGGUUAAUACUUGGAUGGGAGACUACCUAGGAAGACCAGGUGCCGUAGGCA